ACCGAAGCGUUUGCGUGGGGCCCGCCGGGCGGCGCUAGCAGCCUCGUCUCCCGAGGGGACGUUUCUAUUUGGGCCGCCUCUGUGCGAGCUGCCUAGCCUAAGGACACCGAGUUUUCCUUAGAAGCAACCGCGGGACACGCCCCUCUGUAGAGAAAGAAGACCAACAAGAUCCUCCUCCUGCACUUGGGAGCUGGAGGAUGUGCUCAUGUUUUGGCAGGCGUGGUGAGCUUGAGCAGGAAGGCUUGAGAGUCCAAAGCAUCCUGGGCUACAUCUGUCUCAAAUGGAAUCUGAAAACUGAACUAAUGACGUAUGGAGCCAAAAGCACAGCUAAGAGAGUAAUUCCCAAGCUCGAUGUUUUAUGUGUGCAACCUAAUUGGAUUUUCUCCAUACUUCAAGGAAGAAGUAAGGCGACCACCGGAGUGCUAAAGCGGAGGUCCUUUGGUAUUUGAAUUAUUUCACUGAACUAAGAUCAGGCUCGGAAAAUCUCUUUAAAACUAAGGUGAUGUUUUCAGAAAUAAAGAUCACAUAGUGGUUGCC
Molecule: long non-coding RNA, 537 nt
Filed under: Mus caroli (Ryukyu mouse)
Lineage: Eukaryota; Metazoa; Chordata; Mammalia; Rodentia; Muridae
Description: lncRNA (MGP_CAROLIEiJ_G0003607.1)
Source: RNAcentral